AUUGAACGCUGGCGGCAGGCCUAACACAUGCAAGUCGAACGGUAACAGGAAGAAGCUUGCUUCUUUGCUGACGAGUGGCGGACGGGUGAGUAAUGUCUGGGAAACUGCCUGAUGGAUGGGGUUAACUACUGGAAACGGUUGCUAAUACCGCAUAACGUCGCAAGACCAAAGAGGGGGACCUUCGGGCCUCUCGCCAUCGGAUGUGCCCAGAUGGGAUUAGCUAGUAGGUGGGGUAACGACUCACCUAGGCGACGAACCCUAGCUGGUCUGAGAGGAUGACAAGCCACACUGGAACGGAGACACGGACCAGAGUCCUACGGGAGGCAGCAGUGGGGAAUGUUGGACAGUGGGCGCAAGCCUGAUGCAGCCAUGCCGAGUGUAUGAAGAAGGCCUUCGGGUUGUAAAGUACUUUCAGCGGGGAGGAAGGGAGUAAAGUUAAUACCUUGGCUCAUUGACGUUACCCGCAGAAGAAGCACCGGCUAACUACGUG
Molecule: ribosomal RNA, 490 nt
Filed under: uncultured bacterium
Lineage: Bacteria
Description: partial 16S ribosomal RNA
Rfam family: Bacterial small subunit ribosomal RNA
Source: RNAcentral